This 253-nucleotide ribosomal RNA is filed under the name uncultured bacterium. RNAcentral's name for it is "partial 16S ribosomal RNA". It matches the Rfam family "Bacterial small subunit ribosomal RNA", at positions 524 to 776 of the family's 1533-position model. The record is from RNAcentral.
UACGUAGGUGACAAGCGUUGUCCGGAUUUACUGGGCGUAAAGAGCGCGCAGGCGGUCGAUCAAGUCGAGUGUGAAAGCCCCCGGCUCAACUGGGGAGGGUCAUUCGAUACUGAUCGACUCGAAGGCAGGAGAGGGUAGUGGAAUUCCCGGUGUAGUGGUGAAAUGCGUAGAUAUCGGGAGGAACACCGGUGGUGUAGACGGCUUUCUGGACCGUAACUGACGCUGAGACACGAAAGCGUGGGUAGCAAACAGG